ACGUAGGAGACGAGCGUUGUCCGGAGUUACUGGGCGUAAAGGGUGCGCAGGUGGCGGCGCGCGUGGGGGGUGAAAUCGCCCGGCUUAACUGGGCGGGGGCCUUCCAGACGGCGUGGCUUGAGCAGCGGAGGGGGACGUGGAAUUCCGGGUGGAGCGGUGAAAUGCGUAGAGAUGUGGAGGAACACCAAUGGCGAAGGCAGCCUUCUGGGCCAACACUGACACUCAUGCACGAAAGCGUGGGGAGCAAACAGGA
RNAcentral lists this ribosomal RNA (253 nucleotides) under uncultured prokaryote. Its description in RNAcentral is "partial 16S ribosomal RNA". It matches the Rfam family "Bacterial small subunit ribosomal RNA", at positions 525 to 777 of the family's 1533-position model. The record is from RNAcentral.